RNAcentral lists this ribosomal RNA (186 nucleotides) under uncultured Rahnella sp. RNAcentral describes it as "partial 16S ribosomal RNA". It matches the Rfam family "Bacterial small subunit ribosomal RNA", at positions 354 to 531 of the family's 1533-position model. Lineage: Bacteria; Pseudomonadati; Pseudomonadota; Gammaproteobacteria; Enterobacterales; Yersiniaceae. The record is from RNAcentral.
GGUGUGAAUAUUGGCACAAUGGGCGCAAGCCUGAUGCAGCCAUGCCGCGUGUGUGAAGAAGGCCUUAGGGUUGUAAAGCACUUUCAGCGAGGAGGAAGGCACCAUACUUAAUACGUGUGGUGAUUGACGUUACUCGCAAAAAAAGCACCGGCUAACUCCGUGCCAGCAGCCGCGGUAAUAAAAAAA